GAUGAACGCUAGCGGCAGGCCUAACACAUGCAAGUCGAGGGGUAGAACACUUCGGUGUUUGAGACCGGCGCACGGGUGCGUAACGCGUAUGCAAUCUACCUUGUACAGGGGAAUAGCCCAGAGAAAUUUGGAUUAAUGCCCCAUAGUAUAUAACCUUCGCAUGUUGGUUAUAUUAAAGUUCCAACGGUACAAGAUGAGCAUGCGUCCCAUUAGUUAGUUGGUAAGGUAACGGCUUACCAAGACGAUGAUGGGUAGGGGUCCUGAGAGGGAGAUCCCCCACACUGGUACUGAGACACGGACCAGACUCCUACGGGAGGCAGCAGUGAGGAAUAUUGGUCAAUGGGCGCAAGCCUGAACCAGCCAUGCCGCGUGCAGGAAGACGGUCCUAUGGAUUGUAAACUGCUUUUAUACAGGAAGAAACAACUCUACGUGUAGAGUCUUGACGGUACUGUAGGAAUAAGGAUCGGCUAACUCCGUGCCAGCCGCCGCAGUAA
Molecule: ribosomal RNA, 494 nt
Filed under: uncultured bacterium
Lineage: Bacteria
Description: partial 16S ribosomal RNA
Rfam family: Bacterial small subunit ribosomal RNA
Source: RNAcentral